Molecule: transfer RNA, 75 nt
Filed under: Asparagus officinalis (garden asparagus)
Lineage: Eukaryota; Viridiplantae; Streptophyta; Magnoliopsida; Asparagales; Asparagaceae
Description: tRNA A4U43_Ala155
Rfam family: tRNA
About the family: Transfer RNA (tRNA) molecules are approximately 80 nucleotides in length. Their secondary structure includes four short double-helical elements and three loops (D, anti-codon, and T loops). Further hydrogen bonds mediate the characteristic L-shaped molecular structure. tRNAs have two regions of fundamental functional importance: the anti-codon, which is responsible for specific mRNA codon recognition, and the 3' end, to which the tRNAs corresponding amino acid is attached (by aminoacyl-tRNA synthetases). tRNAs cope with the degeneracy of the genetic code in two manners: having more than one tRNA (with a specific anti-codon) for a particular amino acid; and 'wobble' base-pairing, i.e. permitting non-standard base-pairing at the 3rd anti-codon position.
Source: Rfam by way of RNAcentral
GGGGAUGUAGCUCAAAUGGUAGAGCGCUCGUUUUGCAUGCGAGCGGAGUACGGGGUUCGACACCCCGCGUCUCCA